UACGUAGGGGGCAAGCGUUGUUCGGAAUGACUGGGCGUAAAGGGUGCGUAGGCGGUGUAGCAAGUUAGAAGUGAAAUACCUAGAGCUUAACUCAGGUGCUGCUUCUAAAACUGCUAUACUUGAGUGCAGUAGAGGAAAGUGGAAUUCCUAGUGUAGCGGUGAAAUGCGUAGAUAUUAGGAGGAACACCAGUGGCGAAGGCGGCCUGCUGGGCUUUUACUGACGCUGAGGCUCGAAAGUGUGGGGAGCAAACAGG
RNAcentral lists this ribosomal RNA (254 nucleotides) under uncultured bacterium. RNAcentral describes it as "partial 16S ribosomal RNA". It matches the Rfam family "Bacterial small subunit ribosomal RNA", at positions 524 to 776 of the family's 1533-position model. The record is from RNAcentral.